Long non-coding RNA from Prionailurus viverrinus (fishing cat), 404 nucleotides. RefSeq lists it as uncharacterized. The record is from RefSeq and is a predicted model, not a curated record. Lineage: Eukaryota; Metazoa; Chordata; Mammalia; Carnivora; Felidae. The transcript has 3 exons.
ACAGCACUUGGGAAAGGGCACUUGGGGUCUUGGCAGUGAACAAAACAUGACUCUGUCCCAUUCUAGUGAUAGGUGGGGAGGUGGACAGAGAAGCAAAACGUGCAUCACACGGAGCCAUUGAUUAUGAAGAAAGUGGAUACUCAAGAACAGACAUUCAGCUUUUCUGGGCUCAGGGUCUAGAAAGACCAUCCAGGAACAUUCUUCUUACCUCCAGUUAGAGGACAGAAAGGAACACUGUUCAAGUCUACUUAGAACACACCAAAGAUGGUAGUUCUCUUCAGUCCAACGACAGAGGCUCCUGGCAAUUUUGAAGAAGCACCCACCGGGAGCCAACGACCAAUGUCUCCUGUGUGAAGCCAGCCGUCCUCAUCCAGAACCUCCUUGGUCUUCUCAGGGUCCUUCAG